Molecule: ribosomal RNA, 301 nt
Filed under: uncultured bacterium
Lineage: Bacteria
Description: partial 16S ribosomal RNA
Rfam family: Bacterial small subunit ribosomal RNA
Source: RNAcentral
CAGCCGCCGCGGUAAUACGUAGGUCCCGAGCGUUGUCCGGAUUUAUUGGGCGUAAAGCGAGCGCAGGCGGUUAGAUAAGUCUGAAGUUAAAGGCUGUGGCUUAACCAUAGUAUGCUUUGGAAACUGUUUAACUUGAGUGCAGAAGGGGAGAGUGGAAUUCCAUGUGUAGCGGUGAAAUGCGUAGAUAUAUGGAGGAACACCGGUGGCGAAAGCGGCUCUCUGGCUUGUAACUGACGCUGAGGCUCGAAAGCGUGGGGAGCAAACAGGAUUAGAUACCCCGGUAGUCCCUGUCUCUUAUACC